AUGUCCAUUUGAUUAUUAGACCAUCAAGAAGAACCUUGAAGGUAGAUGAAAGUUUGUUCCACCGCCCACAGUAAUAAAGGUGGAAUAACUGAAGCAGAGAACCCAAGGCCUGUGUGAGAGAGCUCGUGAUGGCAAAGGUAUCCAAAGACCUGGGAGAGAGACAGAGACACAGAGAGAGACAUAUUGAGGCCAAGGAGACAGAGAGGCAGAGUGAGACUGAACGCAUGGCCUGGUUUCUGGGAAUGUGAUUGGUGAAUAUCAGAAGAGUAAGCUGGAGAUCACUCACAUCAGCAUUCCCUGCCCCACAGAUUCAAUUCUGUCCCUUAAUUGAUUAGCUGCUCCAUGCCACGCAUUCUGCUGGGGAUAUGGAGAUGGAUGACAAAUGUGGAGUGGACAGAUGUUGAGGAAGUUUGCUCCUUGGGUGCAGCAACGUGAUGGCCCUAGAGAAAAUCAGCACAUAUAUUUAUCCUUCACAUGAAAAUAGAGGUCCUUGAAAGGCCCUUCUGCAGGUGUUUCUUAGUAUCAAGCUUUGGAACUUCUAUCCACAACAAUAAGGUAGAUGGCAAACUUUUAAAUGAUCUGUAUCAACAAAAGG
Molecule: long non-coding RNA, 595 nt
Organism: Pteronotus mesoamericanus
Lineage: Eukaryota; Metazoa; Chordata; Mammalia; Chiroptera; Mormoopidae
Exons: 4
Source: RefSeq, a predicted model, not a curated record